RNAcentral lists this ribosomal RNA (660 nucleotides) under uncultured bacterium. RNAcentral describes it as "bacterial SSU rRNA". It matches the Rfam family "Bacterial small subunit ribosomal RNA", at positions 8 to 694 of the family's 1533-position model. The record is from RNAcentral.
AGAGUUUGAUCCUGGCUCAGGACGAACGCUGGCGGUGUGCUUCACACAUGCAAGUCGAACGGAGUAGCAAUACUCAGUGGCGGACGGGUGAGUAACACGUGGGAAUCUACCAUUAGGUGGGGAAUAACAGGCCGAAAGGACUGCUAAUGCCGCAUAUGUAGGCAUCUCGACAGAGAUGUUUAUGAAAGGAGUAAUCCGCCUUUUGAUGAGCCCGCGUCCGAUUAGCUAGUUGGUAGGGUAAAAGCCUACCAAGGCGACGAUCGGUAGGUGGUCUGAGAGGAUGAUCACCCACAAUGGGACUGAGACACGGCCCAUACUCCUACGGGAGGCAGCAGUGGGGAAUUUUACGCAAUGGGGGAAACCCUGACGUAGCGACACCGCGUGAGCGAAGAAGCCCUUUGGGGUGCAAAGCUCUGUCAACAGGAACGAAACAAAUGACGGUACCUGUGGAGGAAGCAUCGGCUAACUACGUGCCAGCAGCCGCGGUAAGACGUAGGAUGCAAGCGUUGUCCGGAUUUAUUGGGCGUAAAGAGUUCGUAGGCGGUUUGUUAAGUCUGAUGUUAAAGACCGGGGCUCAACCUCGGAAAUGCAUUGGAUACUGGCAGACUGGAGUGCAGUAGAGGCUAGUGGAAUUCCCAGUGUAGCGGUGAAAUGCGUAGA